GAACGUUGGAACAGCGGUUAGGAGCUUACACCCACCCGUGUUUACAUACUAUUGUUGCUUUGGCGGGCCGUGGCCUCCACUGCGGGCUCUGCUCGUGUGUGCCCGCCAGAGAACCAAACUCUGAAUGUUAGUGAUGUCUGAGUACUAUCUAAUAGUUAAAACUUUCAACAACGGAUCUCUUGGUUCUGGCAUCGAUGAAGAACGCAGCGAAAUGCGAUAAGUAAUGUGAAUUGCAGAAUUCAGUGAAUCAUCGAAUCUUUGAACGCACAUUGCGCCCUGUGGUAUUCCGCAGGGCAUGCCUGUUCGAGCGUCAUUUAACCACUCACGCCUAGCGUGGUAUUGGGGCACGCGGUCUCCGCGGCCCUCAAAAUUAGUGGCGGCGCCGGUGGGCUCUAAGCGUAGUACAUACUCCCGCUAUAGAGUUCCCCCCGGUGGCUCGCCAGAACCCCCAAUUUUUUACAGGUUGACCUCGGAUCAGGUAGGGAUACCCGCUGAACUUAA
This 501-nucleotide ribosomal RNA is filed under the name fungal sp. 866 YZ-2011. RNAcentral's name for it is "eukaryotic LSU rRNA". The stretch from base 160 to 313 matches the Rfam family "5.8S ribosomal RNA". Lineage: Eukaryota; Fungi. The record is from RNAcentral.